This 201-nucleotide ribosomal RNA is filed under the name uncultured bacterium. Its description in RNAcentral is "partial 16S ribosomal RNA". It matches the Rfam family "Bacterial small subunit ribosomal RNA", at positions 524 to 724 of the family's 1533-position model. The record is from RNAcentral.
UACGUAGGGGGCAAGCGUUGUCCGGAAUCAUUGGGCGUAAAGCGCGUGUAGGCGGCUCGAUAAGUCUGCUGUGAAAGUCCAGGGCUCAACCCUGGGAUGCCGGUGGAUACUGUCGAGCUCGAGUCCGGAAGAGGCGACUGGAAUUCCUGGUGUAGCGGUGGAAUGCGCAGAUAUCAGGAGGAACACCGGUGGCGAAGGCGG